RNAcentral lists this ribosomal RNA (1029 nucleotides) under Triticum aestivum (bread wheat). Its description in RNAcentral is "partial small subunit ribosomal RNA". The record is from RNAcentral. Lineage: Eukaryota; Viridiplantae; Streptophyta; Magnoliopsida; Poales; Poaceae.
AUGGAGCAGUAUGGGAGGUGGCUUGGGGGAGGUGGUAGAUCGGAACAGGAGGAGGAAGUUUCUGGCGAAUUCUUAGGACCCCAACCUGACCUGGAAGACCAAUUUGCUGGCAUGAGGCUGCAUGGAGAGGAGGAACAAGACCUUGAUUUCUCGGAGGAGGUUGAAGAUCUGGUGAAGGACGUACGUUGGCUGGCUCUGUUUCGUGUGCAUACCACGAAGCCGUUUAGCCAUGGGGCUCUUUUGACCCAGAUGAGGAAUGCAUGGAUGGCUGCCCAAGGGGUCACGUUCAACGUUAAGGGACCAAACCUUUUUCUCGUUCAAUGCCACUGCUUAGGGGAUUGGAAGAAGAUCAUGGAAGGCGGGCCAUGGCUGUUUAGGAGGGCUCCGGUGGUGAUACAAGAGUAUGAUGGCUUUUCAGAUGUUACAAAGUAUAGGUUGAACAAGUUCCCAGUAUGGGCUCGGGUUAAAGAACUGCCGGAUGGGUUAACGAGGAAGAAGGAGCUCGCAGAAAGGGUGGCAGCAAAGAUUGGGGAGCCACCAUUUAAUGUUAUUGUAAACGAAGGAAGGAUAAACCCCGCAAGCACUUUGCGGGCGCGGGUGUUUCUGGAUGUGAAUACACCUCUGGUCCGAUUUGUGCCUAUUACGCUGAAGGAACACAAGAAGUUUAGCGUCUACUAUGAGAAACUACCUGAUUUUUGCUAUGCUUGUGGCCGGGUGGGUCACUUAGCCGAGGAAUGUGGCGAUGGGGUUCAUGACCCGAGGACCUUUGAGUGGGGUGAUUGGCUGUUAUGGGAUGCUGAGAGUCCAACAGAUCGACCUUGGAAUGGUCGGGCUAGUGAUGAUGGGGGGAGUCGUGGAAGGAUGGGAGGAAGAGGGGAUAGAGGAGGCAGAGGCGGGAGGAGUACGGGAGUAGCUGGAGGAAGGAGAGGGCCGAUAGCAGGCCGGGAGGAUGGAAUGCCUGGCAUAGCAGGGGUGGACGUGGGGAACCAGACAGGGAAUGAGGGAGAGGAGAAAGGGGCACGCAAGUGA